AACGUCUACGGACCAAAGGGGGCUUCGGCUCUCGCCUUUAGAUUGGCCCAAGUGGGAUUAGCUAGUUGGUGAGGUAAUGGCUCACCAAGGCGACGAUCCCUAGCUGGUUUGAGAGGAUGAUCAGCCACACUGGGACUGAGACACGGUCCAGACUCCUACGGGAGGCAGCAGUGGGGAAUAUUGCACAAUGGGCGCAAGCCUGAUGCAGCCAUGCCGCGUGUGUGAAGAAGGCCUUCGGGUUGUAAAGCACUUUCAGUAAGGAGGAAAGGUUAGUAGUUAAUACCUGCUAGCUGUGACGUUACUUACAGAAGAAGCACCGGCUAACUCCGUGCCAGCAGCCGCGGUAAUACGGAGGGUGCGAGCGUUAAUCGGAAUUACUGGGCGUAAAGCGUACGCAGGCGGUUUGUUAAGCGAGAUGUGAAAGCCCCGGGCUUAACCUGGGAACUGCAUUUCGAACUGGCAAACUAGAGUGUGAUAGAGGGUGGUAGAAUUUCAGGUGUAGCGGUGAAAUGCGUAGAGAUCUGAAGGAAUACCGAUGGCGAAGGCAGCCACCUGGGUCA
RNAcentral lists this ribosomal RNA (560 nucleotides) under Pseudoalteromonas tetraodonis. RNAcentral describes it as "bacterial SSU rRNA". It matches the Rfam family "Bacterial small subunit ribosomal RNA", at positions 189 to 736 of the family's 1533-position model. Lineage: Bacteria; Pseudomonadati; Pseudomonadota; Gammaproteobacteria; Alteromonadales; Pseudoalteromonadaceae. The record is from RNAcentral.